Long non-coding RNA from Gadus morhua (Atlantic cod), 251 nucleotides. NCBI's taxonomy places the organism in Eukaryota, Metazoa, Chordata, Actinopteri, Gadiformes, Gadidae. The record is from Ensembl.
UUUUUUUAAUUUUUGCGUUUCGGCGUAAAACGUAGCUAAUAAACCAAUGUUCAAAACGCUACCGUUUCGUCAUCGAGGGUCGGAUCAAAAAAGUAAUGCAGCAUUUCUUUUCGUGUAGGUCUGAAGAUGCCGUGUGCAAAGUUUGGUGGCGAUUGGUCAGGAAAUGUGGGAGGAGUAGCGAAAAAACAGUUUUGCGGUUUUCGCGAUUUUGCGAAAAAAAAUUCUAGACGCAAAUGGGCGUGGCCUAUGCC